RNAcentral lists this ribosomal RNA (253 nucleotides) under uncultured bacterium. Its description in RNAcentral is "partial 16S ribosomal RNA". It matches the Rfam family "Bacterial small subunit ribosomal RNA", at positions 524 to 776 of the family's 1533-position model. The record is from RNAcentral.
UACAGGGGGGGCAAGCGUUGUUCGGAAUUACUGGGCGUAAAGGGUUCGUAGGCGGCCAACUUAGUCAGACGUGAAAUCCCUCAGCUUAACUGGGGAACUGCGUCUGAUACUGGAUGGCUUGAGUGCAGGAGAGGAACGCGGAAUUCCAGGUGUAGCGGUGAAAUGCGUAGAUAUCUGGAGGAACACCGGUGGCGAAGGCGGCGUUCUGGACUGCAACUGACACCGAGGAACGAAAGCCAGGGGAGCAAACGGG